RNAcentral lists this ribosomal RNA (253 nucleotides) under uncultured bacterium. RNAcentral's name for it is "partial 16S ribosomal RNA". It matches the Rfam family "Bacterial small subunit ribosomal RNA", at positions 524 to 776 of the family's 1533-position model. The record is from RNAcentral. RNAcentral also lists the same sequence under 1 other name.
UACGUAGGUGGCAAGCGUUGUCCGGAUUUACUGGGCGUAAAGAGCGCGCAGGCGGUCGUAUAAGUCGAAUGUGAAAGCCCCCGGCUCAACUGGGGAGGGUCAUUCGAUACUGUUCGACUCGAAGGCAGGAGAGGGAAGUGGAAUUCCGGGUGUAGUGGUGAAAUGCGUAGAUAUCCGGAGGAACACCAGUGGCGAAGGCGACUUUCUGGCCUGUUCUUGACGCUGAGGCGCGAAAGCUAGGGGAGCAAACGGG